GUGCUCGCUUUGGCAGCACAUAUACUAAAAUUGGAACGACACAGAGAAGAUUAGCAUGGCCCCUGCACAAGGAUAACACACAAAUUCGUGAAGUGUUCCAUAUUUAA
This 107-nucleotide small nuclear RNA is filed under the name Sorex araneus (European shrew). The record is from RNAcentral. Lineage: Eukaryota; Metazoa; Chordata; Mammalia; Eulipotyphla; Soricidae.